UCCAGGCCCUACGGGGUGCAGCAGGCGCGAAACCUCCGCAAUGUGAGAAAUCGCGACGGGGGGAUCCCAAGUGCCAUUCUUAACGGGAUGGCUUUUCAUUAGUGUAAAGAGCUUUUGGAAUAAGAGCUGGGCAAGACCGGUGCCAGCCGCCGCGGUAACACCGGCAGCUCUAGUGGUAGCAGUUUUUAUUGGGCCUAAAGCGUCCGUAGCCGGUUUAAUAAGUCUCUGGUGAAAUCCUGCAGCUUAACUGUGGGAAUUGCUGGAGAUACUAUUAGACUUGAGAUCGGGAGAGGUUAGAGGUACUCCCAGGGUAGAGGUGAAAUUCUGUAAUCCUGGGAGGACCGCCUGUUGCGAAGGCGUCUGACUGGAACGAUUCUGACGGUGAGGGACGAAAGCUAGGGGCGCGAACCGGAUUAGAUACCCGGGUAGUCCUAGCUGUAAACGAUGCGGACUUGGUGUUGGGGUGGCUUUGAGCUGUCCCAGUGCCGAAGGGAAGCUGUUAAGUCCGCCGCCUGGGAAGUACAGUCGCAAGACUGAAACUUAAAGGAAUUGGCGGGGGAGCACCACAACGCGUGGAGCCUGCGGUUUAAUUGGAGUCAACGCCGG
This 606-nucleotide ribosomal RNA is filed under the name uncultured archaeon. RNAcentral's name for it is "bacterial SSU rRNA". It matches the Rfam family "Archaeal small subunit ribosomal RNA", at positions 315 to 921 of the family's 1478-position model. The record is from RNAcentral.